Molecule: ribosomal RNA, 253 nt
Filed under: uncultured bacterium
Lineage: Bacteria
Description: partial 16S ribosomal RNA
Rfam family: Bacterial small subunit ribosomal RNA
Source: RNAcentral
UACGGGGGGGGCAAGCGUUGUUCGGAAUUACUGGGCGUAAAGGGCUCGUAGGUGGCCAACUAAGUCGGACGUGAAAUCCCUCGGCUUAACCGGGGAACUGCGUCCGAUACUGGUUGGCUUGAGUUUGGGAGAGGGAUGCGGAAUUCCAGGUGUAGCGGUGAAAUGCGUAGAUAUCUGGAGGAAUACCGGUGGCGAAGGCGGCAUCCUGGACCAUUACUGACGCUGAGGCACGAAAGCGUGGGGAGCAAACAGG